This 253-nucleotide ribosomal RNA is filed under the name uncultured bacterium. Its description in RNAcentral is "partial 16S ribosomal RNA". It matches the Rfam family "Bacterial small subunit ribosomal RNA", at positions 524 to 776 of the family's 1533-position model. The record is from RNAcentral.
UACAGAGGGUGCAAACGUUGCUCGGAAUUAUUGGGCGUAAAGCGCGUGUAGGCGGUUCAUCAAGUCGGUUGUGAAAUCCCUGGGCUCAACCCAGGAAUUGCUUCGAAUACUGGCGUGCUUGAGGCUAGUAGGGGUCACUGGAACUGACGGUGGAGCGGUGAAAUGCGUAGAGAUGUGGAGGAAUACCGAUGGCGAAGGCAGCCCCCUGGGCCAAUACUGACGCUCAUGCACGAAAGCGUGGGGAGCAAACAGG